RNAcentral lists this ribosomal RNA (99 nucleotides) under uncultured bacterium. RNAcentral describes it as "partial 16S ribosomal RNA". It matches the Rfam family "Bacterial small subunit ribosomal RNA", at positions 1386 to 1482 of the family's 1533-position model. The record is from RNAcentral.
CACACCGCCCGUCACAUCACGAAAGUGGGUGGUACUAGAAGUCGGUGAGCUAACCCGCAAGGGAGGCAGCCGCCCAAGGUAUUACUCAUGAUUGGGGUG